This 167-nucleotide non-coding RNA is filed under the name Terrisporobacter othiniensis. Lineage: Bacteria; Bacillati; Bacillota; Clostridia; Peptostreptococcales; Peptostreptococcaceae. The record is from RNAcentral.
CAUAGUGAGUUAGAACCUGAAGGAAGCCUAGGAUAAAGUCUAGUUCUAAGGAACAAAAAUUACAUAUGAAGCUACUGAGAAAUGGAUGAGUUUGCGUAACAGAACAAAGUAUAAUAUUAUCCAAGUCUUAAGUAUUAAAUGUAGCAGAUAUAUGAGCGGAAGGUUGU